This 262-nucleotide long non-coding RNA is filed under the name Lathyrus oleraceus (garden pea). RNAcentral describes it as "Pisum sativum (pea) long non-coding RNA (PSAT_LNC020572)". Lineage: Eukaryota; Viridiplantae; Streptophyta; Magnoliopsida; Fabales; Fabaceae. The record is from RNAcentral.
UUUGAAAUAAUAUUAAAAUCAUGUUGAAUACAUAGUUGUUAAUGGUAAUUAGACUUCAAAUCCAACAGGUUACAAAUAGUCCAAACACAUAUUUGUCUUAAAAAAACCUAAGUAAUUGCAUUUUAAUUAAAUGAAAGAGUGCUGCUGUUGGAAACAUGAUUCUAGGGACCAAAGCCAGGUGACCAUUGGACCUUCCUUGGACUUGGGCGCGCCUCAAAAUUGCUGUCUUGGAGCAGCCACCUUCCACUCCAUCAAGUCAAUU